Molecule: small nuclear RNA, 108 nt
Organism: Rhinolophus ferrumequinum (greater horseshoe bat)
Lineage: Eukaryota; Metazoa; Chordata; Mammalia; Chiroptera; Rhinolophidae
Source: Ensembl
GUGCUUGCUUUGGCAGCAUAUACACUAAAAUUGGAAUGAUACAGAGAAGAUUAGCAUGGCCCCUGUGCAAAAGAUGACAUGCAAAUUCAUGAAGCAUUCCAAUAUUUA